AACAGGAUUAGAUACCCUGGUAGUCCACGCUGUAAACGAUGUCGACUUGGAGGUUGUGCCCUUGAGGCGUGGCUUCCGGAGCUAACGCGUUAAGUCGACCGCCAGGGGAGUACGGCCGCAAGGUUAAAACUCAAAUGAAUUGACGGGGGCCCGCACAAGCGGUGGAGCAUGUGGUUUAAUUCGAUGCAACGCGAAGAACCUUACCUACUCUUGACAUCCAGAGAAUUUGCUAGAGAUAGCUUAGUGCCUUCGGGAACUCUGAGACAGGUGCUGCAUGGCUGUCGUCAGCUCGUGUUGUGAAAUGUUGGGUUAAGUCCCGCAACGAGCGCAACCCUUAUCCUUUGUUGCCAGCACGUAAUGGUGGGAACUCAAAGGAGACUGCCGGUGAUAAACCGGAGGAAGGUGGGGAUGACGUCAAGUCAUCAUGGCCCUUACGAGUAGGGCUACACACGUGCUACAAUGGCAUAUACAAAGAGAAGCGAACUCGCGAGAGCAAGCGGACCUCAUAAAGUAUGUCGUAGUCCGGAUUGGAGUCUGCAACUCGACUCCAUGAAGUCGGAAUCGCUAGUAAUCGUAGAUCAGAAUGCUACGGUGAAUACGUUCCCGGGCCUUGUACACACCGCCCGUCACACCAUGGGAGUGGGUUGCAAAAGAAGUAGGUAGCUUAACCUUCGGGAGGGCGCUUACCACUUUGUGAUUCAUGACUGGGGUGAAGUCGUAACAAGGUAACC
This 731-nucleotide ribosomal RNA is filed under the name uncultured bacterium. RNAcentral describes it as "bacterial SSU rRNA". It matches the Rfam family "Bacterial small subunit ribosomal RNA", at positions 771 to 1501 of the family's 1533-position model. The record is from RNAcentral.